Molecule: ribosomal RNA, 253 nt
Filed under: uncultured bacterium
Lineage: Bacteria
Description: partial 16S ribosomal RNA
Rfam family: Bacterial small subunit ribosomal RNA
Source: RNAcentral
UACGUAGGGGGCGAGCGUUGUCCGGAAUCAUUGGGCGUAAAGCGCGCGUAGGUGGCUUCGUAAGUCCGUUGUGAAAGUCAAAGGCUCAACCUUUGAAUGCCGAUGGAUACUGCGAAGCUAGAGUACGGAAGAGGCGAGUGGAAUUCCUGGUGUAGCGGUGGAAUGCGCAGAUAUCAGGAGGAACACCAAUAGCGAAGGCAGCUCGCUGGGACGUUACUGACACUAAGGCGCGAAAGCGUGGGGAGCGAACAGG